GGGAGGACCGGCCACUGGAGAGGCCACCCAGGAACCGUCCUCUGUCCCAGCGGGAGACACAUCCUCAGAUGCGGGCAGAGGGACAAGUGCAGAAGGCAGGGAAGACAAGCCGUCGGAUGCCGAAUGCAAACCACACAUUGGACCAGACUGGUGGGAUGAGGAGUGUGAGAAGAUGAUCGAUCAAGUCCAAGUGUUGUACAUUGGGCAGAGUGAGCUGGACACGGCUGAGCAGAAGGAGGCAUAUCUCCAUGAGGUGCGUCAGAUGCUGAGAGAGCAAUUCCCCUGCAAGUACUUCCUGCCCAAGGACAUUGGUCAACAGACCAGGAAACGCAGCAAGAGAGAAGGGAAUUGAACGGGAAGAUCGUGGAUUGUGAUCAU
Long non-coding RNA from Amblyraja radiata (thorny skate), 378 nucleotides. RefSeq lists it as uncharacterized. The record is from RefSeq and is a predicted model, not a curated record. The transcript has 4 exons. Lineage: Eukaryota; Metazoa; Chordata; Chondrichthyes; Rajiformes; Rajidae.